RNAcentral lists this ribosomal RNA (468 nucleotides) under uncultured bacterium. RNAcentral describes it as "partial 16S ribosomal RNA". It matches the Rfam family "Bacterial small subunit ribosomal RNA", at positions 28 to 507 of the family's 1533-position model. The record is from RNAcentral.
GACGAACGCUGGCGGCGUGCUUAACACAUGCAAGUCGAACGGAAAGGCCCUGCUUUUGUGGGGUGCUCGAGUGGCGAACGGGUGAGUAACACGUGAGUAACCUGCCCUUGACUUUGGGAUAACUUCAGGAAACUGGGGCUAAUACCGGAUAGGAGCUCCUGCUGCAUGGUGGGGGUUGGAAAGUUUCGGCGGUUGGGGAUGGUCUCGCGGCUUAUCAGCUUGUUGGUGGGGUAGUGGCUUACCAAGGCUUUGACGGGUAGCCAGCCUGAGAGGGUGACCGGCCACAUUGGGACUGAGAUACGGCCCAGACUCCUACGGGAGGCAGCAGUGGGGAGUAUUGCACAAUGGGCGGAAGCCUGAUGCAGCAACGCCGCGUGCGGGAUGACGGCCUUCGGGUUGUAAACCGCUUUCGCCUGUGACGAAGCGUGAGUGACGGUAAUGGGUAAAGAAGCACCGGCUAACUACGUG